AAUAAUCUGCCACCGGGUAGUUGAAUGUAGAAAGCAUUUGUAAGCAUAUCGUUAGGUCUUAGAAGAUAUGUUUACGGGUGCUUUUUUGGA
Molecule: non-coding RNA, 90 nt
Filed under: unclassified sequences
Source: RNAcentral